GUCACCACGAGCGCGAGAAGUCGAAGGUAGGAGCAGAAAGCGGUGUUAGUGUUAGUUCUGGCCCGUUUGGACCCAAACUAAAGUGUAUCAGUAUGAAGCAGGCGGUGACGGCGCACUGAUUCACUCUCGGAGCUCGGUUCACUAAUGACCGAAUCACCGAGGAACCGACCAAAGAUAACUCACACCCGCACGGAGAAGAAGAACAAGAGGAGGAGAAGAUGAACUGGAGUGGGGCAAAGAGAACUGCAUUCAGAUCAAACGGAUACAAGAGAGGUGGCCGAGUUUGAGGAUCUAAAGAAUUGAGUGUCACAAUUCAACAUGCACAUCAGCGAAACUUUUCCCUCUGACUACACCAGCACGCACGCACAGAAAUUCAUAGUGCAGGGAACUGUGGACGAGGAGCUCGCCUCCAAGGAACUCUAUGGAAACGACCCCAGGACCACCAUAGUGGUGUGUAAUCUCCCUCCAUUUGCAUUCCUCUACCAUAAACAGCUCCAGUCUCUCUUCAGACACUGUGGUUAAAUCAAAUCCAUCUCCUUUGACAGCUCCAGGGCCUAUGUAGAGUUCUACCGCUCAUCAAUGAGAGGUUCUGGCGUUCUCCCAGAGGUCUCUCUGUCUCUCCUCCUCACGCAGCAGAGACUUCCUCUCCAUCUCAACGUUUAACCCACUGGAGAGGUGGAGACUUGGGCAGGGGGGUAGUGUAUCUCACACCUCAGAUAUACACGGGUGAAUGUGGAUUUUCAGAAUCAGUCAGUGAGCCCUGUCGGGGUUCUGAGCAGCUCCAUUGAGUUGGAGAAUCUUCCGUCUAACCCUGUCUUUAUCGUCAAUAUCACCGAGGUGUCUGUUCCGCCUCUUUCACUUUCAGUGCACAAAUAAAAAAGAAGCAGUGGCUCCUGUGUGUGUGUGUGUGUGUGUGUGUGUGUGUGUGCACUAACAGGAGGUCCAGGUGCAGCCUUUGGAUAUUGAUGAAGAUUUACUGCCCCUGCAAGACCUUCCUCAACUGCGUAGUCUGGAGCAAAGGAUGCAACAGAGCCCAGAUUACAAGCAAAAUCUGGUAAACUGGUUGGCGCUUAUUGACGGGGUGUAUGUGCGUGACUGCACCUGGCGCAUAUUGAAGAGGGUGAUUGCUAACUCCCUGGCAAAGAAUCUCAAUUGGAGGGGAGUCAAUGGAAAGACUUCACUGUCCGCUCUCCAACUCGGAGAGGUCGUGAUUGGUAAGUAUAUCUGUUUACAUACAGAAUUAGCUGUCUCUCUCAGAUGAUAUGUAAGGGGUAAUCCACGGCUAGAUGUGCAUUAAACGAUUUAAUGCAUGAUGUGGAGGAAAAGAACCACUCGUUCAAAUCGUUUAAUGCACACCUAGCCAUGGAUUACCCCGCCUAUACCAUGGUCUUUCCACAAUUAAUAACGUUAAAGCUGUCAUUGGUUUAGAAGUGCAAACUUUGAUUAGAAGUUUAAAAUAAACUUUGGGAGGUCCCACUUCGGCUCUAAUUGGCUAUUUAUAUUUCUCUGGUUUACUUUAUUUAAAUGGUUAGUAGUCAUAUGGAUCCCAGCAUAGCUGGGACAGGCACGCCUUUAAGAUUUAUUAGUUGGAACGUCAGAGGUAUGGGUAAUCCUGUCAAGACAUCUAAGGAUUUUAUACAUUUGAAACAUUUAAACUUCAAUAUAGUAUUUUUACAGGAGACGCACCUACGUCUUAAAGUAUUAAAGAUCAUCAAAGGUUACUCUGCCCUUGGGUGAGUCAAGUCUUCCACUCGAACUUUAAUUCGAAAGCAAGAGGGGUCGCUAUUUUAAUUGACAAAAGGUCACAGUUUUCCUCCACUAACGUUGUUGCUGAUGUGAACGGUAGAUAUAUUAUAGUUGCUGGUACUCUGAUGCAAAGACAGGUGUUGUUGGUAAAUGUACACGCUCCAAACUUUGAUGUGGAAUUUGCUAAUAGAUUGUUGAGCAAUCUCCCUUUUUAAAUACUCACCUGUAGAUUUUCGGGGGAGAUUUAAACUGUGUAAUUCACCAAAACUUUGAUCGGUCUAAUUCCCGUACUCUGAAUCAAUCUGCAAUGUCUAAAACAUUUUCCGAUUUUAUGGGUCAGAACGGUCUUGUUUAUCCCUGGAGAUCCCGUAACUCUGCUCUUAAAAAGUUUUCUUUCUUCUCCCAGGUGCUAUCCUAUUGAAAUCCUAUUCGAGGAUUGAUUAUUUUUUAUAGACAGCACUCUUGAUUCUUGUGUAGUUUCUUCUGACUAUUUGGGUAUUGUAAUUUCUGACCAUGCGAUCAUGAAUUAGAUAUUCAUCUUUCUAUUUAUAAACGUAGCCAACCGCCUUGGAGAUUUAAUUUUCUUCUUUUAGCAGACAGUGAAUUCUGUGAGUUCAUUUCUACUUCUAUGGAUGACUUUCUUUUCUUCAGUCAGAAUGACUCCACCUCUUAUUCAUUGUUAUGGGAGACACUUAAAUCCUAUAUCAGAGGGCAGAUUAUUUCUUACUCCACUCUCUGUAAUUAAAAGCGCACUGCUAGGGUUAAUGAACUUACAUCUGCGAUCAGUAGUCUCGAUCAAAGAUGUGCGUUGAACCCCUCUCCAGAACUUCUUAAACAGCGAAUCGACUUACAGGCAGAAUUCAAUCUUAUUUCGACUGAAGAGGCGGAACGCUUGUUGUUACGUACUCCUGGUUCAUAUUAUGAACAUGGCGACGAGCCGAGUCGUUUACUGGCACGUCAGCUACGGCGACAGGCCGCUUCCCGUCUCAUACCUAGUGUUAAAAACACUCAUAAUAUCAUCAUUACAGAGCCCAUGGAAAUUAAUGCUACUUUUAAAUGGUUUUACUCUUCACCUUAUAAAUCUGAAUUUCCUGCAGACGAUACUAAAGUGAAUGCAUUUCUUCAAGACCUUUGUACCCCUGUUAGUGAUUCGAAUACUGCCAUGCAACUGGACUCCCCACUCUCUCUUGAAGAAAUUUGAAUUCAGUUAAAACUAUGCAGUGUAACAAAGCUCCUGGCCCGGACGGGUUCCGAUUGAAUUGUUUAAAGCAUCUAUUGGAAAUU
Long non-coding RNA from Ictalurus punctatus (channel catfish), 3030 nucleotides. RefSeq lists it as uncharacterized. The transcript has 9 exons. NCBI's taxonomy places the organism in Eukaryota, Metazoa, Chordata, Actinopteri, Siluriformes, Ictaluridae. The record is from RefSeq and is a predicted model, not a curated record.